AAACUGCAAGUCGAGCGACAGACGAGGAGCUCGCUCCUCUGACGUUAGCGGUAGACGAGUGAGUAGCACGUGGAUAACCUACCUAUAAGACUGGGAUAACUUCNAGAAACCGGAGCUAAUACCGGAUAAUAUAUUGAACCGCAUGGUUCAAUAAUGAAAGACGGUUUUGCUGUCACUUAUAGAUGGAUCCGCGCCGCAUUAGCUNAGUUGGUAAGGUAACGGCUUACCAAGGCAACCAUGCUUAGCCGACCUGAGAGGGUGAUCGGCCACACUGGAACUGAGACACGGUCCAGACUCCUACGGGAGGCAGCAGUAGGGAAUCUUCCGCAAUGGGCGAAAGCCUGACGGAGCAACGCCGCGUGAGUGAUGAAGGUCUUCCGAUCGUAAAACUCUGUUAUUAGGGAAGAACAAAUGUGUAAGUAACUAUGCACGUCUUGACGGUACCUAAUCAGAAAGCCACGGCUAACUACGUGCCAGCAGCCGCGGUAAUACGUAGGUGGCAAGCGUUAUCCGGAAUUAUUGGGCGUAAAGCGCGCGUAGGCGGUUUUUUAAGUCUGAUGUGAAAGCCCACGGCUCAACCGUGGAGGGUCAUUGGAAACUGGAAAACUUGAGUGCAGAAGAGGAAAGUGGAAUUCCAUGUGUAGCGGUGAAAUGCGCAGAGAUAUGGAGGAACACCAGUGGCGAAGGCGACUUUCUGGUCUGUAACUGACGCUGAUGUGCGAAAGCGUGGGGAUCAAACAGGAUUAGAUACCCUGGUAGUCCACGCCGUAAACGAUGAGUGCUAAGUGUUAGGGGGUUUCCGCCCCUUAGUGCUGCAGCUAACGCAUUAAGCACUCCGCCUGGGGAGUACGACCGCAAGGUUGAAACUCAAAGGAAUUGACGGGUACCCGCACAAGCGGUGGAGCAUGUGGCUUAAUUCGAAGCAACUCUCAAAAACCUUACCAAAUCUUGACAUCCUCUGACCCCUCUAGAGAAAGAGUUUUCCCCUUCGGGGGACCGAGUGACAGGNGGUGCA
RNAcentral lists this ribosomal RNA (1015 nucleotides) under Staphylococcus sp. Its description in RNAcentral is "bacterial SSU rRNA". It matches the Rfam family "Bacterial small subunit ribosomal RNA", at positions 51 to 1045 of the family's 1533-position model. The record is from RNAcentral. Lineage: Bacteria; Bacillati; Bacillota; Bacilli; Caryophanales; Staphylococcaceae.